UAGGGAAUAUUGCUCAAUGGGGGAAACCCUGAAGCAGCAACGCCGCGUGAGUGAUGAAGGCCUUCGGGUCGUAAAGCUCUGUUGUACGGGAAGAACGCGGGUAUGGCUAACAUCCAUAUCCGGUGACGGUACCGUAUAAGAAAGGACCGGCUAACUUCGUGCCAGCAGCCGCGGUAAGACGGGGGGUCCUAGCGUUGUUCGGAAUCAUUGGGCGUAAAGCGUGUGCAGGUGGUUUUGUAAGUUAGAUGUGAAAGCCCCGGGCUUAACCCGGGAAGUGCAUUUAAAACUACAAAACUUGAGUAAGGAAGAGGGUUGUGGAAUUCCUGGUGUAGUGGUGAAAUACGUAGAUAUCAGGAGGAACACCGGCGGCGAAGGCGGCAACCUGGUCCUAUACUGACACUCAUACACGAAAGCGUGGGGAUCAAACAG
RNAcentral lists this ribosomal RNA (429 nucleotides) under uncultured bacterium. Its description in RNAcentral is "bacterial SSU rRNA". It matches the Rfam family "Bacterial small subunit ribosomal RNA", at positions 355 to 775 of the family's 1533-position model. The record is from RNAcentral.